Folsomia candida is the source of this 826-nucleotide long non-coding RNA. RefSeq lists it as uncharacterized. Lineage: Eukaryota; Metazoa; Arthropoda; Collembola; Entomobryomorpha; Isotomidae. The transcript is spliced from 2 exons. The record is from RefSeq and is a predicted model, not a curated record.
CAACGUACAUGCUUCUUAAAAACUUAUUUAUGUAGGAAUUUAGAUCCGGGAUUAAAGAAACCAAGGAACAACACACUCUUGUUCUCUCAUCGUGUUCUUAACAUCUUGUCCUCUCCACUCUGCAAGUAAUUUCGUAGGAAAAACAUCUCCAAACCACAAUCAGAUACAAACGCAAGCAGACUGACCGAAUGGGUUCCGCUUCAUCCAAAGAUGGGAAAGAAAUUCGGAAUUGUUGGGAUGGGAAGAUAUACUUUGAUCCAGGUCCUCACCUUUCGAAUUGGAACAGAUAUUUUAUUACCGAGGAGGAGUUGAAAACUGUCAGCAGGAAGUAUGUCAAGGACGACGAUGUCAUUGAAACAAUUUGGCAUUUCAAGUGUGAUCUCUUAGAAUGGCAAAUCACACACGUGCUGACCUACCAUGCGUACAUAAUCCUGCAGACUGGCAAUUACUAUUGGUCGAUAGAACGGAAUAAGCAAGGCGUCACAAUUCAAAGGAGUACAAAAAUGUCGUUUAUUAAGGACAAAUAUCGACGUCUCGACCGAAGGGGAGUGGGGUUGAUAUGCAAAACACCAGGCAAAGGGAGCAUGAAGGAGUUGAUCAAGUGGCUCUAUUAUUCGGAUGAACUCGUGAAAGAGUAUCACUUCGUGUACGCCAAUUGUCACGUCUUUGCGGAAAAGUUGUUUGAACGCUUUUCGAUAUGAAUUCAAAAUGUGUGAAGAGUAAGGUACCCUUAAUCAUGUAAUUAAUUAGUUUCAUUGAAUUUAUACUUAUUUCUAUUGUAAAUUAGCUUGCUAAAUUAAGCUAAUAAAGGUUAAAUGCAAUAUUA